CCUAUACCAGGCUAUUCCAUACCCUAUGGAAGAAAUUAUGCUAGUAUGAGUAAUGUGAGGUUGCGAACCUCUCUGGCACAAGUAUUUAUCGGAACGGACCUCCCACCGAAUUUUAACGGCCCCAUAAAGAGGGUACUAUAUGAUAGACACAAGGCAAGAAAACCAUGUAACUCACACCGUUGAUCUCACACUAGGGUGCCCCUAAGGAAAGACUUAAAGAAAGAGAAGGAACUCGGCAAAUUUUAAGCCUCGCCUGUUUACCAGAAACAUCGCCUUCUGCAUUUAUUAGUAUAGAAGGUCCCGCCUGCCCUGUGACUUAUGUUUAACGGCCGCGGUAUUCUGACCGUGCAAAGGUAGCGCAAUCACUUGUCUUUUAAAUGAAGACCUGUAUGAAUGGCAUGACGAGGGCUUUACUGUCUCCUCUUUUUGGUCCAUGAAAUUGAUCUUUCCGUGCAGAAGCGGGAAUACCAACAUAAGACGAGAAGACCCUGUGGAGCUUCAGACUCCUAAGCAGCCCCCGUUAAUAAAGCCUAGUUAAUGGUUUAUAACUUUGAACUACCUGCCUUACUGUCUUUGGUUGGGGCGACCGCGGAGAAUUACUAAACCUCCAUGUGGACCGAAAGAACUAAUCUUUUAUAACUCAGGGCGGCAGCCCUAAGUAGCAGGAUUUCUGACCAGAAAUGAUCCGGCAGAGCCGAUCAACGAACCAAGUUACCCCAGGGAUAACAGCGCAAUCCCCUUUUAGAGCCCGUAUCGACAAGGGGGUUUACGACCUCGAUGUUGGAUCAGGACAUCCUAAUGGUGCAGCCGCUAUUAAGGGUUCGUUUGUUCAACGAUUAAAGUCCU
This 846-nucleotide ribosomal RNA is filed under the name Tripterygion tripteronotum. RNAcentral describes it as "partial 16S ribosomal RNA". It matches the Rfam family "Bacterial large subunit ribosomal RNA", at positions 1262 to 2597 of the family's 2925-position model. Lineage: Eukaryota; Metazoa; Chordata; Actinopteri; Blenniiformes; Tripterygiidae. The record is from RNAcentral.